This 494-nucleotide ribosomal RNA is filed under the name uncultured bacterium. RNAcentral's name for it is "partial 16S ribosomal RNA". It matches the Rfam family "Bacterial small subunit ribosomal RNA", at positions 28 to 507 of the family's 1533-position model. The record is from RNAcentral.
GACGAACGCUGGCGGCGUGCUUAACACAUGCAAGUCGAACGGAAAGGCCUGCUUUCCCUUGUGGAUUGCGGGUACUCGAGUGGCGAACGGGUGAGUAACACGUGAGUGAUCUGCCCCCAACUUGGGUAUAAGCCUGGGAAACUGGGUCUAAUUCCCGAUAGGACUGCAGGGUGGUGCCUGUGGUGGAACACGAUUUUCUAGUGGUUGGGGAUGAGCUCGCGGCCUGUCAGCUUGUUGGUGGGGUAAUGGCCUACCAGGGCGGCGACGGGUAGCCGGCGUGAGGAGGUGGACGGCGACAGAGAGACUGAGAUACGGCCCAGAGACCGACGGAAGGCAGCAGGUGGGAAGAGAGGAAAAAGGGGGGAAGACUGGUGCAGCGACGCCGCGUGGGUGAUGACGGCCUUCGGGUUGUAAACACCUUUCGACGGGGAGGAAGCCACCUGGUUGGAAGGGUGGUGACGGUAGUGGGAGAAGAAGCACCGGCUAACUACGUG